Molecule: small nucleolar RNA, 235 nt
Filed under: Nicotiana attenuata
Lineage: Eukaryota; Viridiplantae; Streptophyta; Magnoliopsida; Solanales; Solanaceae
Description: snoRNA Plant_U3
Source: RNAcentral
GCAACUAUACUUGCUUGACCAAAGCACCUAUCUCUGUUCAAGUAAGGUCGUACCACCUUAUCCUUGAGUUCUAAGGAAACAGAAAACCAAGUCUAGUUGAUGAGGCGUGGCUAUGUGACCAGAGCGUGAUUAACAGCCUUUCAUGGCCACUUAUGGCCUUGUAGCAGUAGAGGAUCGUUCUCAGUCCAAAACGUUUUGGCAAGAGUAGGGAUGCGAUCAUAGCAGCAACUAUACU